RNAcentral lists this ribosomal RNA (1383 nucleotides) under Chaetothyriales sp. RNAcentral describes it as "eukaryotic LSU rRNA". It matches the Rfam family "Eukaryotic large subunit ribosomal RNA", at positions 34 to 1442 of the family's 3401-position model. Lineage: Eukaryota; Fungi; Ascomycota; Eurotiomycetes; Chaetothyriales. The record is from RNAcentral.
UUAAGCAUAUCAAUAAGCGGAGGAAAAGAAACCAACAGGGAUUGCCCUAGUAACGGCGAGUGAAGCGGCAAAAGCUCAAAUUUGAAAUCUGGCUUCGGCCCGAGUUGUAAUUUGUAGAGGAUGUUUCGGGCACCGCCCCGGCGUAAGUCCCUUGGAACAGGGCGUCAUAGAGGGUGAGAAUCCCGUCUGGCGUCGUGGUAGGGCCCAUGUGAAACUCCUUCGACGAGUCGAGUUGUUUGGGAAUGCAGCUCAAAAUGGGUGGUAAAUUUCAUCUAAAGCUAAAUACUGGCCAGAGACCGAUAGCGCACAAGUAGAGUGAUCGAAAGAUGAAAAGCACUUUGAAAAGAGAGUUAAACAGUAUGUGAAAUUGUUGAAAGGGAAGCGCUUACAACCAGACUUGAGCCCGUCGGUUCCCCCUCGCUUCUGCGUGGGCUACUCCGGCGGGUCCAGGCCAACAUCGGUUCGGGUGGCUGGUCAAAGGCCCCGGGAAUGUACCUCACCUUCGGGUUAGGCUUAUAGCCCGGGGUGUCAUGCGGCCUACCUGGACCGAGGAACGCGCUUCGGCUCGGAUGUUGGCGUAAUGGUUGUCAGCGACCCGUCUUGAAACACGGACCAAGGAGUCGAAGAGCUAUGCGAGUGUUUGGGUGUCAAACCCGUACGCGUAAUGAAAGUGAACGGAGGUAGGAAGCUUCGGCUGCACUAUCGACCGAUCCUGAUGUUCUCGGAUGGAUUUGAGUAAGAGCAUAACUCUCCGGACCCGAAAGAUGGUGAACNNNNNCUGAAUAGGGUGAAGCCAGAGGAAACUCUGGUGGAGGCUCGCAGCGGUUCUGACGUGCAAAUCGAUCGUCAAAUUUGGGUAUAGGGGCGAAAGACUAAUCGAACCAUCUGGUAGCUGGUUCCUGCCGAAGUUUCCCUCAGGAUAGCAGUAACGUUUUCAGUUUUAUGAGGUAAAGCGAAUGAUUAGAGGCCUUGGGGUUGAAACAACCUUAACCUAUUCUCAAACUUUAAAUAUGUAAGAAGUCCUUGUUACUUAGUUGAACGUGGACAUUUGAAUGUAUCGUUACUAGUGGGCCAUUUUUGGUAAGCAGAACUGGCGAUGCGGGAUGAACCGAACGUGAGGUUAAGGUGCCGGACUGCACGCUCAUCAGACACCACAAAAGGUGUCAAUGCAUCUAGACAGCCGGACGGUGGCCAUGGAAGUCGGAAUCCGCUUAGGAGUGUGUAACAACUCACCGGCCGAAUGCAUUGGCCCUGAAAAUGGAUGGCGCUUAAGCGUGCGACCUAUACCUCGCCGUCAGGGUUGACAUGAUGCCCUGACGAGUAGGCAGGCGUGGAGGUUUGUGACGAAGCCUUGGGGGUGACCCCGGGUCGAACAACCUCUAG